RNAcentral lists this ribosomal RNA (250 nucleotides) under uncultured bacterium. RNAcentral describes it as "partial 16S ribosomal RNA". It matches the Rfam family "Bacterial small subunit ribosomal RNA", at positions 525 to 774 of the family's 1533-position model. The record is from RNAcentral.
ACGGAGGGUGCGAGCGUUGUUCGGAAUUAUUGGGCGUAAAGCGCGUGUAGGCGGUUUUUUAAGUCUGAUGUGAAAGCCCUGGGCUCAACCUGGGAAGUGCAUUGGAAACUGGGAGACUUGAAUACGGGAGAGGGUAGUGGAAUUCCUGGUGUAGGAGUGAAAUCCGUAGAUAUCAGGAGGAACACCGGUGGCGAAGGCGGCUGCCUGGACCGAUAUUGACGCUGAGACGCGAAAGCCAGGGGAGCGAACG